GAGGUGCAAUAAAUCUUUGAAGUAAAGGGAAAAUUCCUACAAGCAAUAACUCUCUGAAUGUACAUCUUGCACACAAUUGGUGCCCUUAUAAAAGAAAGGGCAAUAGGGUUGUUGGUUCAAAAAUCGAAGAGGCACCACUCUCCGGAUUCCGAAUAGGCACCACUUUCCACACGCAACAUCAGCUUCUCGGGUACCACAUAUAACUUUGCCAAAGAUCUCUGACAAAGUUUAGACACAUAAAUUUUGAAGGUCCAGCUACCCUACUAUUACCCACAAGGGUAAAGGAACAGCACCACUGCUUGAUAACAAGAAAGUCCCAAUGUGUGCCAACCUCCGUGCUCCGUGGCAAGGCAGACUGGAAAAAUGCCCAACCUUUACUCACAUUCGAGAAAACACUCCCAACAAGAUUGCUUGCUCCGAAUCUCGAGAGCCAGACUUUCAAUAGGAUUAUGUGCUCAAAAAUCGAAGAGGCACCGCCCUUCGAAUCUCGAGAGCCAGACUCCCAACAGGAUUAUUUUCUCAAAAAUCGGAGAGACACUACUCUCCGAAUCUCAAGAGUCAGACUUCCAACAGGAUUGCUUUCUCAAAAAUCGAAGAGGCACCGCUCUCCGAAUCUCAAGAGCCAGACUCCCAACAGGAUUACGUGCUCAAAAAUCGAAGAGGCACCUGAUGCGAAUAAUAUAAGCACACAAAUUAAACCCUCUUUUUGACAAUUGUAGCAAAGUAUGUAAGUAGG
RNAcentral lists this long non-coding RNA (736 nucleotides) under Malus domestica (apple). RNAcentral describes it as "long non-coding RNA (MDOM_LNC018056)". The record is from RNAcentral. Lineage: Eukaryota; Viridiplantae; Streptophyta; Magnoliopsida; Rosales; Rosaceae.